This is an RNA transcript of Passer montanus (Eurasian tree sparrow), 7659 nucleotides long. It is a transcript of the gene named golgin, RAB6 interacting, with no coding region annotated. The transcript has 7 exons. Lineage: Eukaryota; Metazoa; Chordata; Aves; Passeriformes; Passeridae. The record is from RefSeq and is a predicted model, not a curated record.
GGCCUGGCGGCGGGCGGGGCACGGAGCGCCAUGGCCGAGGCCUGGGCCGGCUUCUCGCAGGAGGAGCUGCGGCGGCUGCGGGGGCAGCGCCCAGAUCUGUACGAGCCCUCCCCGCAGCAGCCGCCGCCUCGCCCCCAGGCUGUGCCCAAGACCCGGCAGCAAUUGCAACGGGAGAAAGCCGUGCAGCAGCAAAGCCAGAGGCUGGGGCUGCACGGAGGAGCGGCCUCGCUCACUCCCGAGCAGCGGCUCUCGGCUCCACAGCCCGAGCCCGGUGACCCGCAGCAGCCCGGGCCAGCGCCUGGGGGUGACCCAAGGGGAGAGCAGCCGCAGGGAGUGACACCGGCAGAGGCUUGGAAUGGCAGGGACAGUGCCCAGCCCCGCCCCACAAAGCCCAGCAGCCAAGGGGAGAGAAAGAAAGUGGAAUUGCAGGAAAAAUCCCGAUGGGAAAUCCUCCAGCAGGAGCAGCGGCUGAUAGAAGAGAAGAAUAAACGCAAGAAGGCACUCCUGGCCAGAGCCAUUGCUGAGAGAUCCAAAAGAACCCAAGCAGAAACAGUGAAACUGAAGAGGAUUCAGAAGGAGCUGCAGGCUCUGGAUGACAUGGUGUCUGCUGACAUCGGCAUCCUGAGGAACCGCAUCGACCAGGCCAGCCUGGACUACUCCUACGCGCGCAGCUGCCAAGAAACCUCAUGGACCCAUCUGUCCUCCAGGCCAGGCAAACAACCAGGGCUCCCCAGAGCCACCAGGAGAUGGGAGAGUUUAAACAUCACUGCUUUCAUUUGGAAAGGGCGAGUGACUUUCCCAUGCCGUAAUACCCAGCAAGUGUUGAGAGAAUGUGGUUACAUAAAACCAUAUUUUUAAUACAACCGACAGACUGUCUUGAGAGCUAAGUGUUUUUUGACAGUUUUUAUGCACCUGUUAAUUCAAAGCUCUUAACAUGUGCCAGUUAAAAAGAGCCAGGCACUAAAACAUCCACCCUGUGGACGGCCAGGGCUCAGCUGCACACCAGAGCACAGGGAAUCCAUGCAAGGUAGAAACUUGGCUUCCCUCACAGCACCAACUGGUACAGAGCUAGUGCAACUCAGAGCUUUUGUUUCCCUGUCCUGCUUGGCCUCGUAGAUUCCUGCUUCUGCUUUGGACCUGAAGAACAGCUGACAUUUCUUUGGGUUUCUUCUGUCUAGUUUUCUCAGCUAUUUCAGAAAGAAAAGAUGCCAAACUUCCUGUCAGGGCCACAUCCUUAAAAGACAAUGCUGACAAUACUUCCCCAGGCUCCUCUGCUAAAUUUGUGCCUCCUUCUUUUCCUAAAGUGGGGCUGCUUUUGGUGAUCAGGUAGAGCCCAGAUGGAAACCUGCUGCACCAUCCUCCAGUGUGUCUGCUCAGGUAUCACCUCCACUCCACUCCCUGCUCAGGUAGUCUCUUCAGAGAAGUUCUCCUCCUCCUCUUGUCUAAUAUUUUCCUUCCUCUUCACCCUUUCAAUAUUACAAAUUUUCAAUGUAUAGAUUUUCUCAGGGUCAUUUUAAACCUCUCACAGCCAGGUCUUCCCUCUUCCUUCUGUGACUUUCUUCCCAUACUGUAUCUGAUCCCAUCACAACUCCCUAUUUUUAGGGUUAGGUUUAGCUUUAGGUUUAGGGUUAGGUUUAGGUUUAGGUUUAGGGUUAGGGUUAGGGUCUGGGUCUGCACUCUGUGGAUCACCCAAUGGCCUCAUCCCUGUGGAGAAAACCUUGAAAACUCAGCAUCAUCUGACAUAAAGCCUCAAAAAAGCCCAGAAGGCAGAUAAAAACAAGAAAGCCUGAGAAUUUUAAAUACUUGCAGAUGCUGACACAGUUGUUUCUGUGGUAGAAAAUGACCAGCUAACCCUAAAAUGAGUGGCCACCCAUUUUUUGUGCCAGUGACUGUGCAUUUGGGAUGUGUUUCUGUGUAAGGAAGGGUUAGCAUCCCUUCUGUGGAAAUUCAAUCAGGCUUAAUCAAGCCUUCAGGUGAUAAUUGCACUCCCUUGAGGGGAUGGGGCUGUGGCAGCUCUAGACCUUUCCUUUAUCUCAAGGCCAAGAGGCAUGAGGAGUCUCUGGUGUUCAGCCCAAAGCUUAAGAAAGCAAACAUCAAUAUUCCUUCUUGCUAAGUUCCCUACAGGCUGCCUUGGCAGAUCUGGCUCAUGGUGAAUAACCUGUCAGAACAGUACUGCUGUCCCUGAGUGCUGCACAGAGCUUGAACUGACAGGAGGGUUCUUUAGGCAGGGAACACGAGGUGGGGGCUUGUCAGGACAAUAGAUGGGGCUAGGAUUCCACCUCAAUAACACUCAGGCUGUUUAUUGCAAAAUCACCUGGCAGGACAAAUCUGCUCCAUGUCAGGUGUGUGCACACUGUUCUUUGUGUUGAAUUAGCCAGAACAUGGUAUAUAGUGUUUUUCUUGGCUUUACAUUUUACACUGACUGCAGGAAGGCAUAUUAUACCCCAUCUGGCAUAAAUCCUGUUGGAGCACAGUUACCCUGUGACAAUUCAGAGGAUAAAUUGGACCAGGCAGAAUGGUAUACACUCCAUCAGUGUUUUGCUGCAUGGGAUCACAACAGUUUUAAUCACGUCCUGGGUACCCUCAAACAAAAUUUUCUGUCUCAGUACUGCCCAGCUGUGCUGGUACGUGUUAUGCUUAUGAUGUUGCCUUGAAAAACAUGACUCUGCCCCUGCUGAAAGGUUGCAUUACUGUUAUUUCUUACUCUGCUACUUCAGCAGCUGCUGUGCAUGGACUUGACCUGUAGCCUAUGUCUUUUCAGGGUGCACCUUCCAAGCAAGAUUAAGGUGUAGCUGGGGUGACCUCCUGUUCUGGAAUGACAGAACUGGAAAGGAUCUCAACACAUCCUCCAACUCAUAGCCUGUGUGUCCUGAGGGGGAGCUGUCUGAUAGCUCCUGCCUCCUGCAGAGAUGGAGAAGCUGUCUCUCAGCAGUGGAAGCUGAGUGGAACCCAAGGUCUAACUGGAAACUCCACUCCACACUUGAACCUGGCUCUUCUUGCCCCAUGAGCUGUGUUUGAGGAGAAUGGUUUUUGUCUUCCCAAGGCCUUUCUCUGUGCUACCCCUUAAAGCACGUGCACAGCAGGCUCUGCAGGGAGGCAGGGAGUGAAGGACUCGGGGUGGGAAGCAUCCCAAACUCGCUCAGAUCUGUUGAGAUUCCAGCAGCACCCGAGCCAUCUGUGACUCAUCCUCGUGCUUUGCGUCAGCUCUGAGGAGAGAUCUCUCUGUGGAGAGAUCCUCAGAGCAAGCAAGGCUCUGAUUCCCUGCCUGCUGCCACAGAAAACAGCCCCAGGUUCCUGGUGCUUUGUCCUCACGAGGGGACAGGGCUAUGAUGCAAGAUAAGUUCAUCAGAAAAGCAUGGUGGUUGUUUAUUGCUCUGAAACAUGCUCUGUUUUCAGCUACAGGAAAAUUGUAAGAGUCAUAAUCCUUGCUGAGAGCUGAGCUGCUUCUCCAAACAAAUUGACUCCAUUUCCAUCUGAUUUAAAUUUGAGAGAGCUGCUCAUGUCCCAAAGCUGAGUGAUUUUAUCACCCCUUCACCAGCCCCAGCAUAUGAUGACAGGUUUUUUAGAUCGAACCAGGGAAUAACUUUGCUGAGAGAUCUCCCAGUUUUCACCCAUCUGAGGAGCCCUGAUGUUUCCUUAGAAUCCCUUUGCCCUUUUGCUGCAAAGAUAGGUUGCUCUGAGGGCAGAACAGAUCUCCAGGGAUUGAGAGCAAAGGGAGGCUUCAGCAGAGCCUUGAGAUCAAGCUUGAAGUAGGAGCUUCUUUCCUUAAGCUCAAAGAAUAUGUGUAAUUUUUAAUUUUUUUGAAAGUGUGUGUUAACUACAUGAGCAGAAGAACUGCUCAUGGGGCAAAAUGUGCAAACCUGAAUUAGGAUGCUAGAAGUUAAUUGCAUUGCUCAAAAACGUACAGAGUAAAAUCUAAGGGGUCUUUCCCUUGGCAUGCUCUUUCUUCUUUAGAGAACUUCCUGAAAACCCUGUCCUUGGAUUGGUGACUGUGCCAAAAAGUGUUUGGCAGAAAGGGCAAAACGGAGCCUGUGAUUCAAUGUGGAGCUCUUGGAACCAGGGAGGAGAACCCAGGGUUUGCACAAAGGACACGAUUCAGCUCUCAGCAAUCAAACCCCAGCUCUUGCUUCCUUUCCAAGGGCAUCUGCAGUCCCCUGACUCCACGUGGCCAAAAUUCCCAUUGUCUCCAUGAGGAGUUAAAACACGAAAUGAAGAAAACACCAAGUGGAGAAAGGAGAAGAGCACGGGAAGAAAUGGCUACAACCCAUCUUAUUUAUCUGCUUCCAAGAAAAAAAAAAAUGAGUGUGAGACAUGGAAGUUUCUUUUCAGGAAGGAAACUUUUCAGUUUCUUUUCAGGUUUCUUUUCUAAUGACUUGGAUGAUCCAGUGAAACAAAUGAGAGCAGCCAGGAGAGUGCUCUGCUCCGAAAGGGCAGGGAAAUAUUUGCCAAUGCAGCAGCUCUGCAAAUGUGUGAGGCUGUUAAGCUCCUAAUCCCAUGUCUUAUUUUUAUGAAUUUUCACACUAGUGGGAUAUAAUGAACGUUGAACCCAAAGACAUUAAUUACUCGGGUCCUUUUUUUGAGAGGAAUUUCGAUGGAGUGUAACGUUUUAAAUUACAAGGUGUGAAAUAAACUCUACAAAACUUACAGCUUUAGUGGAGGAACUCCAAAAUCAAAUAAAAAUGCAAAACCACUGAUGAAGUCCAAUUUACUGUAAAAUGCCCUGGAUCAUGGUGUUCCAGUAAUUUUUUUUUUCUCCCUACAUACUUUGGUUAAAAUAAUUUAUAUCCGCUGCAGUGUUUAUGUACCUUAAGCUUUAUUUAUUAAAGGAUAUGUAUAUUUCAAGCCCAGUUUUAAUGAGACAUGCUGAAAUCUGUAAGGUACAGUGCGACUUUUGUUCUAAUCAGCACUAAAUCUCUUCUCUUUACUUUUUCUGUGUUGAAAAUAUUCAUGUUGGACGGAAAGGGCCGUGCGUGUAUAUAAAUUUCAGAAAUGUAUAAAUAUAUAUGUAAAGUAACAAGCAAAAUUUAUUUCUUUUUUUUUUUCUAUCAUCAGGGCAAAUACUCCAUCAUUGUUCAGUCUGAGCACUUAAAAUCAUGGAUGGAUUUUAUCCUUGUUCUUAGAACAGGACAAUUACUUCUUUUUUUAGGCAAAUUAUGUAUUUGCCAAAGGCUGUGCUUUAGGUUGGCUGAAAAUGUUUGGGAAUUCACAUCAGCUUGAAGAACUGUUUUGGCAAAGGAAGAAAAAGAAGUCCAAGGGUUUUGGCUUUGUUUUCUAAUGAAAAGUUUUGAGAUUUCAUUUUGAACCAACACCCUUAAACUAAUGUCAGCAUGAACUAAAAAAACUUGGGAAACCGAGAAACUUCUUACAAUUCUGAAUUAAAUGGGGCCUUAGAGAUGUUCCUUGGGGGAGUUGAUUUGAAAGUUUCUUCCUGUGUUUUUGUUCUUGCAAGGAAACAGAAAAUACUUUUGCUUAAAUAGAUGAUUUUGAAAACUGUAAUGUUUAUGGCUGUUUCAGUGUAGCAUUAGCAGUAAGUUUGAAAAUUAUCUUUGGUUUAAGGAACUUAAACUUGAGCCAAAUUUUCAAGACAUUGUAGAAAGCCUAUCUUUCAUUGACACCUCAGGAUGAGAUAAAACUGCUUAACCUUUACUGAUAGCUCUCAAAUAUGGAUAUGAAGCAGGUCAAGCAAGUGUCCCAUGCAGUCCCUAAACCACUACUAAAAAUGGUACAAUGGUUCCUAAAUCCCUUUAAAUGUUGUAAAUGGUACCAUGGGCAGGAAAGUGACUCUCUCCAUAAAAAAAAGCCUUUGAUGAAAAGGAAAAAGUCCAUUUUGCCAAUUUUUUUUCGAUUUAAUGAAAGAAGAAAAUGGGAAGUCUUUGAAGAGUCCUGCCACAAAGAGGGCAAAACCACUUCUGUUUUAAGAGAUGUGACAAACGGAACAUUUCUGGUACAAACCAACUUUGCUCAACUUUUGCCCAAAUAUCUAUGUUUCAGAGGCAAAUAAAUAUAAAAUACAGAAGGCUUUACAGGUCUGAUGAGCCUGAUUUCCUCACCUAUGCACAGAGAACCACAACAUUUUCUGAUGAACCUGAAGGCACAAGUUCCCAGCAAAGCAAAGUGAAAUCUGGGAGCAGAGGGGAGAGGCUUCACUCUGUGUGUCCCAUGGCAAAUGUUUGCUUUAGAAAUGAAUGCAUUUCUCAGGAGUGAACCCCCAAGCCCAGAAAUGGCUGAGCAAGGAAUUUAAAGGGAGAAAUGCUGGGAAUCAGGGAGCGGAGUAAUAAAGUACAGGUUUGUUCUGUAACAAAUUCCAGCACUUGCAAGACUCUUUUAGACAUAUGGAAGUCCAUUUAGGAGGAAAAUUGGUUGCAGCCGCUGACUCAGAACCUGUUGGAAUCAGUGGAAACAUUUCCAUUGUCUUCUGUCCUGAAGAAAUGGUGUUUCUGUCCUUCCUUCCAUCCUGGCCUGUGCUCACUCUCUGGGCCAUAUGGAUUUCAUCUCCCACAAAGACAUGUAAGAGAAGAAGGUUUGGCUGUUUAACAGCACAAUGGAGCUGUGUGGACAGGAAUGGCUGAUUUCUACUUGAUUUGCUACAAAUCAGGUAACCAGCACCUUCAGAGGAGUCACCUGGCUGCAUCUGGCUCUUGUAUCCCAGAGCUGAAUGUGGCUUUAAUCACAUCAGCACGUUAAUUGUGCCCCUCAAGACGAGCUCAGAGGAGCGAGGCUCUGUCUUUCUGCAACCAUCUGAUUCCUGGAUUCUGACCAGGAAUAAUUGCCAGGCUAUCCCUGGGAAAGAGCACUGGGUGAUUGUUUAUCUGGAUAGUGCCCCCCUUCAGCUAUUUCAGACUUUCUAGGGUUAAACCCAAAGCUGCCUGCAGGGAAUGAGUGAACCAAGCCCAUCGAGAACUGAUCUCAAAGGAUCAAUUCUCCUGCUUCACUUUCUGCAAGGCAGGCUCCCAGAAACGGGGGCACAGAAGGGGAUGGAUGUCCCCAAGCACUCCCUGUUCUCACAGGGUGUCACCUCCAGACAUUCUAGAGAUCCCUCCCUGCCUCCUACCACCGAGGCCAGGCCAAGUCCCCACGAAGGGGUGACAACCUGCAGAGCAAGAAAUGUUCAAGUAUUUCAGCAUCUACAAGAAAACAUGGGUAUUUUCAGAGCAGAGCUAGGCUUGAGGAAGUGCAGGAGAACAGACGGGUCAGUUCUCCCCCACUGCCACCUCAGACCCUCUGUGUGGCCCAGACAGGUCCCUUCCCUGCCCUGCCCCUCAUUCCCUUUGGUUCCCUCUGCCCUUCCCUUCUGGUGCUCCAUGCAGGGUAGGAAGUGCCUUGCCCAGAGGUGCCUGUCUCCUGUUUGUAGUGACAACCCCAGCUCCAGCAAAAGUGGAUGUGCCACCACAGAAACCUUCCCCGAAUCCAGUUCUGGUAUCAACUAGCUCUGCUCUCCUCCUCUCACCACAGAACUGUGACUUUCAGGGCAAUCUUCUCUGGGUAUUUUGGACAAUGAAUGUGUUUCUUGCCAUGUAAUUAAAUUAUCCACUUGAGAAAGAAAAAGAUGUGGUUUUGUUCCCAUUACAAAAACAAACAAACAAGGACUGAUAUUUAUUACAGGCCGAGGCUACUCAACAAGUGUUUUCUGGAACUCUAAUAAAUUGCUGAAGAAAGUUU